GGAUGGACGCAUGAAGAGCUUUUAACGACGUUAGCGGGCGUCUUCUAGUUGUUUCGGGCCGAUGUGUCCGGGAAGCGGAGGCGGCAUUAACCCGAUGUUUCCGGUAGUCAGUGGAAGCGGUAAUGGCGGCUGCACGGGCCCGUUCUGUAUGGGCGCUGGAAAUGGCGGCAGUGGAGUAGCCAGAAGAGGCGGUGGGAUGAUAGGCGGACCCAGGGGAGUGAGAGGAUUUAACUGACCCUGAAGCAAAACGGGUUUGAUUCAGAACAAGUGUUUGGAUUGUAGUGAAUUGCAUAACCAGGCCAGCCAAGUUUUAUUCAAUGUUCAGCAUCCCCAUGAUGUUUUAUAAACUCGCAUGUAAGAAUUCAAAAGUCUUUAAUAUACUGUUAUUAAACAGUUAUUACCAUGUAUACUUCUAAUAGUUGUACAUUUUUACCAUAUUUAUUUCGAACAGUUGGGUUAUGUAACCCAUUACCCUUUGUAAGACCCGUCUCUUCUUGCAUUUGUGAUUUUUGUCUAUAUGUCAUCACUCUUCUUGGUGGUUUAAUUUUAAUUUGAAUUAUUGAUAUGAAAUCAACAUUUAACUUAUAUGUAAUAUAAUUAUCUGUUGAAAUGUAUAUUAU
Molecule: long non-coding RNA, 620 nt
Organism: Dreissena polymorpha
Lineage: Eukaryota; Metazoa; Mollusca; Bivalvia; Myida; Dreissenidae
Exons: 3
Source: RefSeq, a predicted model, not a curated record